This 2073-nucleotide long non-coding RNA is filed under the name Paramuricea clavata. Lineage: Eukaryota; Metazoa; Cnidaria; Anthozoa; Malacalcyonacea; Plexauridae. The record is from RNAcentral.
CUGCAACAAAAUAUAUGAAAUAUUCGUUUUAUGUUCAUUUUAAAGUUCCAUAAUCGUAAUGAACAAUCUAUCUAGUAUCUAUCUUAUAACAUGAUCUCCCUUUUAGCGAAAAUAUAAUCUCUAUCUUGUAAUAUACUGAGUUGUUUCGAAGUUGACUGGGAAUAAUUAGCACUGUCAAAUCGUGAAGUCAUGUGACCAAAAUGAUGAAACAAUUUGAUCACAUACAUGAUUGAACGAAAAUUGAAUUUGGAAUUAUCAAACGUCUUUCCCCGUUUAUCAAACGUCUUUCGUCGUUUGAAAUUCUUAGCGGGAUGUGGCCAGUUUAGUGAUUUUAGUAAUAAUCGCGAUUCGGUUCAAGAGAAGCAAUAUAUGAGAGAUGAGGGAACAUAAUCUUUAUCGCUCUUUUUUGAACAUGUUCGAUUUGAUCAGAUAAAGUUGAGGAGAGUGAAGUAUGCCAAACCUGGCAUGCAUAUAUAUUCCAACACCGGUCGGAUAAAAGUGCAGACGAUAGUUAAUAAGUCUGCAGCCGAGACACCAUUUCGUUUCAAAAUUCGAAGGGCAUAUAACCUUUUAUUGUGUCAAAAUAUGGGUUUCAAUUGAGAUGACCCACUCAAACUAAUGUCUAAUCUUCAAGUCAGUACAUUUAUAUAUAUAUACGAAUCGUUAACUUUUAUAACCUUUUAACUUGUAAAUAGUAUGGCUACUUUUACCAAUUUGUAAUUUCAAGUUUUUCAGGUCGCUGGACACGCCAUGCACCUGCCAUUUGGAAAUUUUAAUAAAUCAUUCAUUUCAUGAUUAAAAAGAAGACAAAAAAGUGCGCAAAUGCUUUAGCUUCUUCAGAAUACAAUCUUUUAGAAUAUGGUCACGCUAAGGAAGAACUGCAUAGGAUCUUAGGUUGGAUGGAAACUGAAUAUGACUUAAGAAGUGACCAUGGUAACGAUGAUGAUGGUACUGUUGAUAUUGAUGGUACUGUUGAUGUCAUGUUACCAUGACAACAUGACUUCACCAUCAAUAUGGCCUAUAUCAACCAGAAAAGCCAUCUUAGCAGACAAAUAACCACGGUGACCUACCUUUUUAUUGCAGACAAGACAUUGUUAUGAAAUUUUGAAUGAUUUUUGAAAGUUAUUUGAAAAUCGCCAGUGUAGUUUUCGAGAAACUGAAUUUCAGCCUUUCCAAAGGCUAAAAUGCAAUCUUAAAGGCUAAUUCAAGGCUGAAAUUAGUUUCUCGAAAACUACACUGGCGAUUUUCAAAUAACUUUCAAAAAAGUUUCAAAACUUCAUAACAAUGUAUUUUCUGUAAUAAAAUGGUAGGUCACCGUGGUUAUUUGUCCGCUAAGACGGCUUUUUUGGUUGAUAUAGACCAUAUAGAUGGUGACGUCAUGUUGUCAUGGUAACAUGAAGAGUAGCGAUUGUGGGUUAAAAUUACUCUUUUAUUUUAGAGGAAACAAUGGCUUGUGCAAAAAAUUAGUUUUUUAUAUUCAAAUAGCUUUUAGUUUAAAACACUGACAUAUAUUGGAAACUUUAGGGAGCCUCCUUAAAUUACAACCGCUCAAAUAGAAAGAAUGAGACUAAAACUAAUAGAUUAAUUAAAACGUUUUAAGAGUCGCUCCGCGUACCUAUAGGAUAUAUUUAAAAUAUAGAAAGCAUCCUUAGUCUAAAAACGUGCUCAUAUUAGGUAUUACUGCCUAUACCCAUAAGUUUUAAUCGUUUGCCUUAGUGUAUAGGAGUGUAGCGUGCUAGUGUGGUUAUGGCGUGGUAACUCAUCGGACAUGACACCAAAUUUAAACAUUGUACAUGCAGAUAUUGAAUACCAUGCAUGAUGCAUGCAGCUAGCAAGUAAUUGCUACGGUUUCUUUAUUUGACAACAUUGUUUUCGUUCUAUCCUUGAACAUUAAUUUUUGGUGCAUGUGAUCACUCCCUUCUAACCAUUGAAACUGAAAAGCCUCCGUGCUCAAUCUUCAUGAUCAGCAAUUGAGGUACAGUUACGAAGGUGAAGUAUCUGACACGCUGUAGUUCCACGUAUAAUAGUGAGGCCAAGAUCCCAAGUCCCGUCUUUCAGCCUUCUCAUCCUCCU